This 104-nucleotide small nuclear RNA is filed under the name Prolemur simus (greater bamboo lemur). The record is from RNAcentral. Lineage: Eukaryota; Metazoa; Chordata; Mammalia; Primates; Lemuridae.
GUGCUCGCUUUGGCAGCAUAUGUACUAAAAUUGGAACGAUACAAAGAUUAGCAUGGCCCCUGCGCAAGGAUGGCACGCAAAUUUGUGAAGCAUUCCAUAUUUAA